RNAcentral lists this ribosomal RNA (325 nucleotides) under uncultured Bodomorpha. RNAcentral's name for it is "SSU rRNA". It matches the Rfam family "Eukaryotic small subunit ribosomal RNA", at positions 632 to 955 of the family's 1831-position model. The record is from RNAcentral. Lineage: Eukaryota; Cercozoa; Glissomonadida.
GAUUUGUGAUUUAGUGUCAGUGACCUUUGGUGGGAUUCUAUCAGAGUGUUGGUGUAUGCGGAUCAUCUAUGGGUUGUUGUUGGAUUGUCCUUCACUGGUCCGUCCAACCGCUUCCCAUCGGUUACUUUGAACAAAUUCGAGUGUUUCAAGCAGGCGUUGCCGCUGUGAAGAGUCGAGCAUGGAAUAACAUCAUAGGACUUCGGUUCGAUUUUGUUGGUUCUGCAAGCUGAAGUAAUGAUUGAUAGGGACAGUUGGGGGUGCUAGUAUUCAGUGGCCAGAGGUGAAAUUCUUGGAUUCACUGAAGACUAACUACUGCGAAAGCAUU